This is a long non-coding RNA of Colossoma macropomum (tambaqui), 5059 nucleotides long. RefSeq lists it as uncharacterized. The transcript is spliced from 2 exons. Lineage: Eukaryota; Metazoa; Chordata; Actinopteri; Characiformes; Serrasalmidae. The record is from RefSeq and is a predicted model, not a curated record.
UCUCUAUCUUUGCUAGUCAAAAAACAAACAGUGUUAAGUUAAUAAAAAAAAAAACGUAUCAAAGGUUGAAUGAGUGAAGUAUCAAACUUUGGCCUCUAUCUAAAACCAGUAUUUACUGCUUGGCAACUGGAGGCACCAAAGAAUUAACUACCUAGAAACACACACAAACACACGGUGCUUCACUUUUGAGGAUGUAAAUCUUACUUAAAAAUGGAAUUUCCCUGGAAUUUCUCUACAGAGCCUGGCAUUCAGUCAGGCGAAGAAAACAAGAACAAGAAGAAUAAGUAGAGGAAGAGAAUGUGACAAGAUCACUAGAGCUGUCGGGAGAUUGUGAGUACGGUCCCUGGUGAUGCCAUGGCCAUCUGUGUCCAGGAUGGCCUCUGGCAUCUGUUAGCUGAUGUUACAGAACUGGCAUUUAGCAUUCUCCAAGUGUGCUUAACUAUUCAAUGAUGUUGCAUUGGAACGAUGCAGUGGUGCUUCAUGUAUAUGGGAGGAAGCUCAUGCUAGCCUUCACCCUCCCAGACUGGUUGCAUUGUGUGAUUUGGGGAGACCUAGCUAGAUGGUGAAACUAGAUAUGACUAAAUUGGUGAGAAAAUCAGGCAAAAAAAAAGAAUCACCCAAUUAUGAUUGAUAACACAAGAAACAUGAAUUCACAUGACAUAUUUGAUUACCUAAAUACUGAGCAAAAGUCAGAGACCACUCUUCAUAUAUUUAAUUUCCAGUCAAAACAACCAAUAGGAAGCAGAAGUUACCUAAUUUUUGGUAUCAGAAUUUUUUUUUUUCCAUAAUUUGGUGUCCACCCAUUGCCUAAUACAGCUUACAUUCUUUUCAAGUGACUUGCUUUCAGUUUUUCAAAGAAAUCUGCAGGAAUAUUUUACCACAUGUCCAAAGUUCAGUCUUAGAAGUUGGCUGCAUUUUCUGCUUCUCGUAAUCCAAGUAAUCCCAAACAUAUUCAGCAAUGUUGAGGUCUGGACUUUGGGGUGGACAGUCCAUUGUUCUGAGAACACCAGCAGCUGUUUUGUUUGAUUUGCAAAUUUUCUUCUUUUUUGCCUAUUUCCUCUACUCAGUAGGAGCUUCUUGACAGCUACAUAUUAUUUCAGACCCAAUGCUCCUGUUUUUUUUCACUUUCUUAUUCCUUAUGCAAGCAGACUGUCUUGGAUCUAAUCCUCUCUGAAAUAUCUCCUGAAAAAUGAAAAACUUGUUCUUUACCCUAUAAAAUCCCAGGCCUAUUACAUACUAAGGCUUAUUAUUCAGUAACUACAGGGACUUCAGCGCAAACUGGCUGAACUGUUCUUAGGUUAUAGAAGUGUGUAAUAAAACUUUAGACCUGCUGGUGGGCCCUGGCCAUUUAAGUUGUUAACAGGUGUUUUGACUGGAAAAUAAAUGAGUAAAGUGUGGUCUCUUACUUUUGCACAGUACUGUGUUUAAUGGUGUAACAAAAUAACUAUUUCUUAGUAAUUAUUAAAAAAUCAGCUCUGGCUUAAAUAAUGCUCCAAAGUCUUUUAAGCAUAAAAGAAGUAAAGCAAAUGGACCUAUAACUGUAGAUUGAGAUAACAAAGCCCUGUAUGUGCACAAAUUUUAAUGAUUAACAUACAAAAUUACACUUAAAUUACACUGAAGUACCAAAUCAAAGAGUUUCACAUAGCAGCAGAUUGGUAUGUAUAAAAGAGAAACUCCCAUCAGGUAGUAAGGCAGAUCAGACACCAAAGAGAAGUAAACUCCUCGCAGAUGAUCUCUCAGUCCCUCACAGUUUCACCUUCCCAGCAAGAGAGCUGGAGGGGUAGAGGCGCGAGAAACGGCCCAGGGUCCAAAUAGGAAACACAUUCCUGUAGGAUGUGUAGCUGAUGGCACAGCUCUUGUUGAAAACACCAGAGAUGUUUUCCUGCAACGGUGAAGAAAGGUCUGUUUGUAAAGGCACUUUUCAGUUAAAAAAAUAGCAAAUAGAUAACAGAGUGAUAGAAUAACUGAAAUCUGGGGGAGGACCAUGCCUCAAACCAAUCUUACACCCUAAAACUCCCAUAUCUUCCUUCUAUUUCCCACAACAAGGUUUUCCAGAGGUCCAGCCUUCUAACUCCAAGUAGAAGCCACUGAGAAUUCCAGCCAAGGUUCUCUUCCCUCAGUCUCUACUCAUUGUACCACCAUAUGGUAAAGGCAUGGUGCAAACACAACUGUCCUUGAACAAACAAAGACAUGAAGAAAGUAACUCACUUGUGGCCAAUCUCCAUUAGGAAGCUGCUUGUCAAUCAAAACCUGUAUUCCAUCCUCAAUCACCUUUAGGUCAGGGUACCUACAGUGAAAAUAUCCAAUGAAAAAGGUUAGUUAAAUGAACUAUAAAAGCCUAUUUCUCAUGGUCCCUUAAAUGGUUUAUGAGUAAUGGCUCAAAUCAAUGAAUCAUGAAUCAUUGAAUAAUAAUAAUAAUGAUAAUAAUAAUCAUCAUAACCAUCAUCGUCAUCAUCAUCAUCAUCUAAAAAAAUCAAUAAAUCAAUCAGUGAAUUAGCUUAAUUAAUCUGCUAAUGUGCAUUACCACAAACAACUAAAUUAAGUAAGAGUGGCACAAAUAAGUCGAGGCAGUGGUUUUAUAUAAAUUUGGGUGAAAUCAGAGAACUGAAUUUUGCAGUGUAGAAGGACCUGAGAUGCCCGUCAUUCAGUGAGCAUAAAACAGAUUCAGCUAGUAUUUUGGGUUGUAUAUCACCUGACAGCCAUCAGGCCCAGAAGAGCCCAGCAGGUGUUGUGGAUCUGUGAGUUUUUGCUCUGUACAUAGCGCCGCUGUUCACAUGACUCAAAGUCCUCUCCCCAGCCUCCAUCCUCCAUCUGCUUAGAGAGCAGGAAGUCACAGGCACGCCUCACCUCAGCACACACCAGCCUGCAGCACACAGAAGAUGCACUGAAUGAAUGAAUGAAUAAAUGAAUGAAUGAAUGAAUGGAUGUGUGGAGGAUGAACUGGUAGAGCUGUUUGAAUAAACAGCCAUCACCAACUUUCCAGAAGCCCAGAAGACAACAGCAACAAACAGAAAGCCUUUCUUGGAAAAUCUUCAAUUCCAUGAAAUCAUGAAUCUAAACUGAAAUAUGUUCACCAUACAAAUCCAUGAGAAAGGAAACUACUGAUGUAAACAAAGUUAUUCAGAGUGGUUUGAUGAGUGCCGUUCUAGAGAAACUUGCAGAGUCAGAAAUGUUCUCAGUGGUGGUGAAUCAGGAAUCAGGAAUCAGACGUCCAAAUGACUCAGAAAACUACAACACAGAAAGUUAUUACAUGAAAUUGUUACAAAUAAGCUGGGUGGUGCCUGAGGUAUUGUUUACAAUAGAUUUGAGAUAAUAUUUUGGUCUAAAAUGAUUUUUGAAAAAUAUUUUCAUGGUGAAGAGGCAGAUGCAGCAUGUUGUAAGGACAACAGUACCCAAUGAAACAGUACCCAAUGAAAAUGUUUUUUCAGGUUUACCACUACCUUAAAAUGAUCAACAUUACAUAUAAAAACUCAGAACAUGUGUAGCUUCACUGGUCAUUUUGGAUAGCAAACAAAACAGCUAUAUUAGUGUUGCAGCUCCUGAUUCCUGAUCACCACCACUGUAAAGAAGUCUGAGUUGGUACGUUUCUCUACAAUGCAAAACAAAGGCUAACUCUCAGGUGUUUAUGAGUUCAAAACAUACCCAUCAUAUCCAUCCCGGAAAGUGUGACCCAUACAUGCAAAUGCCUCCAGGCCAAACCAGACUCCAUAUGUAAAGCACACACCCCAUGAGCUGUAAAAGAUACAAAUGCAAAGGCUAUAGACUUUGUACUUAAUAACAAAAUUGUCUGUUGUAUUGUUGAAUUACAGAACGCCACAAAAAAAAAGUACAUAUACUGAAUCAACACCCACUUGAGCAAAUAACCACAGACUAAAGUACAGUAAAAUAAAAAAUCCUCUCUUCACAAAUCAGCACUGCACUGAAGGUGGAGGCCUACCCUUCCCAUGAGCCAUCAGGUCUUUGCAUCCUUCUGCAAUAGUCGAGCCCCUGCUGAAGCGUGCUCCUAUAAUAACAUAUUAGAGCUUAACUCAUGCUGUGCUUUGCCUUCAGUUUCUUAACAUGUUCUGUGGGCUGGUGCUGCAGAUGUACCUGAUCUCCUGUGCUCUGUGCUCAGGGUAAAUAUGGUGGAAGUGCUGCAGAGCUUGCAUCACAGCCGAAGUGCACUCCACAUAGGUGUAGUCGAUCAUGAUAUCACCUGUUACAGGAUACAAAGUGAGAAAAUGCCAAGCUGACAAAUAAAACCAAAGACAAACUGAAGAUCUCUAAAACAGUGCACAGAAAUUCUAAUAUAUAUACUGUUACGUGCCAUUAUAUAUGCUAUUAUAUGCACUGGGUUGCCAGUUAUUUGGCACCUUUUACCCAUGCGUUACUUUAUCAGGUCGCAAUGAUGUUUUCAGUUAUAUGCUUCAUGUACUGCACAUCGGUACAUAUAAUUAAACAGGAUGAUCUUGUGGACUCCUAACAUUGCUGGAAUUUCAGCUCAUGAUCUGUUGACAAUAACACAAAACCUUGCAAACUUGCUUUGUCAGGAGAAAUGCUCUUACCAAACACCUCUGAGGGAUUGAGCAGUUCCAGCAGCUUUCCUCCACGUUUGGUCUCAUAAGUGGCAAAACCACCAUCAGCAUUUUUCAUGCUCAGGAGCUAGAAGAAAGAAUGAGAUCUGGCCUUCAGUUAUUAUAGCCCCUAGCUCUGGAAUUCUCUACUGAAAAUCCUCACAGGCAGUGACAUUCUUUUAAAAAGUACCAUAAAACAUACUUAUUUAAUACAGCAUUUAAAGGGGAUUCAGACCUAUUUUUGUGUAUAUAUUUGGGCAUAAUUGAAUAAUUUAGAUAAACAAAGUCAUUCACAGUGGUCUGAUGUGAAAUAGUUCAUUGUAAAGAAACUGAUUCUGAAUUCUUUGAAGUGGUGAUGAUAAAACCAGGGGUCACAAUGUCUACAUCACAAAUAUAGCCAUUUUACUGACUAUUCAAAGCCACCAGGGACCCUACAUGUUUUCUGUGUUUUUUAUUUGUAAUGUUGAUAAUGGUGAAAAAUAAGUUAUAUUUUGUAUUUAAAAAAA